GGCAGAAAGCUUCUGAAAUCUCAGAAGUAUCUUAACAUCUUUCUAAAACUAUGCCAUCUAUUUUGUAUGCAGAGUGGCAAAUAAUCACGUUUAAACUUUGAUGGAGAGACGAAACCAGUUACACUUCAGAUGAGUUCUCAAGCUCUGCUGGACUACCCGGGCUGCAUUUUGUGUAAGAUAUGUACGUUCCGGAGGAAACAGUAAACAUGGCCGUGACCUGCUGAGCUCAGAUUUCUUCAUCAAAUAUCCACCAUUCCCCAAGGAUCUUUUCUCUUCUGUCUGGAUUUGGCAUUUUGGCCUCCCAUACUUGACAGCCGCUUUCUAAGUCCAGGAAUAGAGUUGUCCAGUUGUGACAGCCGCUGUCUUCACCAACAUACCUUCCUACACAGUCUCAUCAAUCAAAAGGGAGGAAAUGUGUGUUAUUUUUGAUAAAUGGGCUCCAAGAUUUGCUGAUCGUGUUACAGGGAGGACCAGAUUAACUUGGGUCUGAAUGAAGUGACAAGGCAUUGCAGUCCAUUGUUUUUUAAAGGGCAGAGCUGUGCCGGAGAGCAAGGGGGUGUGUGAGGCUGCUUUUUACACCCAGACACAGACUAGCCAUGUCCCAGGGUGAAGUGUAGGAAGGAGGGCAGUCUCUCCCGUGCAAGGGGAUGGAGAGCGGGCAGAGUCUUGACUCCAGCCUCCAACACACUGGUCAGUGCAGCUGAGCGGGUGUGGGUGGGCAAGUCAUCGGUACCAG
This 736-nucleotide long non-coding RNA is filed under the name Chrysemys picta bellii (western painted turtle). RNAcentral describes it as "lncRNA (ENSCPBG00000009974.1)". The record is from RNAcentral. Lineage: Eukaryota; Metazoa; Chordata; Testudines; Emydidae.